This is a long non-coding RNA of Balaenoptera ricei (Rice's whale), 735 nucleotides long. RefSeq lists it as uncharacterized. The transcript is spliced from 4 exons. The record is from RefSeq and is a predicted model, not a curated record. NCBI's taxonomy places the organism in Eukaryota, Metazoa, Chordata, Mammalia, Artiodactyla, Balaenopteridae.
GCGUCUUCGAAGGCGGCGGAGCCCGGCUGCCUCAGAGGGUUCCCGAGGCCCGUCGAGCCCGCGGAGGUUAAGUCCGCCGGCUGACGCCUCAGCCUUCGCCCCGCGCGCCGGUCUCGGGCUUCACGGAAAUGAAAACAAGCCAAGAGUAAAACAAAACCAGUACAAAUCCCCAAGCCAAAACAGCUACAAUCAAAUUCAAGGAAAGCAAAGGGUGAUUCCUGGAAACCUCUGGAAGCAAGCUGCUGCUGUUUGUUUUAUACCCUGGGCCGUUUGACUUGGAACAUUUCUGAAGUUGUUCAGUUCCUGCACAUCUAAAUGAACGGCUGUUUCUGGGUACAGUUACCUUCUCAACUUACAUGCUUCGAUGAAGCAAGCUGCCCUGUUGGAAACGGUCAUGUCACAAGGAACUGAGGGAGGCCUCAGGAGGAGCUGAGGUCCAGUCCAACAUCCUGCAAGGAACUGAAUCUUCCCCACAACCACACGAGCUUUGAAGUGGAUGCUUCCUGACUGGAGACUCCCAGCCCUGGCCGACGCCUUGAUUACAGCCUUGUGGGGAGACCCUGAAGCAGAGGACCCAGCUAAGCCACACCAGACUCUUGACCCUCAGAAAUCAAGAGAUUGCCGGAGACUGUCCAUGAAAUCGUCUUCAUCCUUUGCGCUACCCUCUGACCUGCUCUAGUGUAAGGCCAUUCUUGGUGGGCGGGAGCGGAGGGGACAGUUAAAACCCUAAAUACC